UCACACCUCCGAACCAACUCAGCCGCAAACUUUCUCAUGGUGGGCCAGUAGUAACCCUGCCAUAGGACUUUGUAGGCCAAAAAUUUGCCCCCCAAGUGAUUUUCGCAGAUCCCUUCGUGCACCUCUCUGAGCACGUAGUCCGCGUCAGUCGGUCCUAAGCACCUGAGCAAGGAAAGGAAGAACGAUCUUUUGUAAAGUCGGCUGUCCAUCAUUACAUAUUGGGAGGCCACCCAUCGA
Molecule: long non-coding RNA, 237 nt
Filed under: Elaeis guineensis (African oil palm)
Lineage: Eukaryota; Viridiplantae; Streptophyta; Magnoliopsida; Arecales; Arecaceae
Description: long non-coding RNA (EGUI_LNC002244)
Source: RNAcentral